Molecule: RNA transcript, 2808 nt
Organism: Brassica oleracea var. oleracea
Lineage: Eukaryota; Viridiplantae; Streptophyta; Magnoliopsida; Brassicales; Brassicaceae
Exons: 6
Source: RefSeq, a predicted model, not a curated record
CAAGUGCUUGUGACAUCAAAAGUCUCAUAGUUACCGGUUCAUCCAAUUAUCAUACCUAAGCCUCCAUCUUCGUUGCUGAAGGCUGAAACCGAGUUUUCAGAAGAGAUGGGACAACUGCGUGAUAUCGGGGGCCUUACGUGUUGCUAAGUUCCAAUUUAUGUGCAGAACUCCUUUUCAAAUUGGAGACACCAUUUAUCUGGGGGAUGGUGUGACAGAGGAACAACAUCUAGCAAUGAUAAAUGAUGAAGUCGAUGACGACGAGUUAAAGUGCAGCGGAAGAGUGCUGAAGGAAAUUUUCAGUGAAGAAAAGUUGGUUCUUGUUUACCGUUACUCAUUUGAAAUAGAAAAGGCCAAAAGCAUCAUUGAUCUUAACGUCAGACCCCCUGUUGAUGCCCAACGAAACGACGUCUCUGUCGGUGACAUAGGAGAUAUAAAUUACAAUUUGCAUGGAAUUGAAGACCACAUCCAACACCAGCGUCAAGGUUGGCACGAUAAUCCCUUACAUGAUUUACACCCUACUUGUGGUGAGGGACCACCAGAAUCACACAUAUCAUCUUCCAACUUGCCACGUCCUAGGAGUCCAGAGAAUGGAAUAAGCAAAGAUGCAACAUUGUUGAAACCAACAUGGGCACAUAUGGAGGUGGGGUCAGAUUACUGGAAAACCGUCAGUAUGGAAAACUGUGACAACAUAAUUAAUCUCUCAUCUGACCUUCACUUCGAAGACAAUUCAACACCUUUGCGCAACAAUGCCUAUAUCGAAAUUGAGGCUUCUUCCAUAGGAUCAAACAACGGUACUGAAGUUAAUCAAUUCCCGACGUAAAGGGGAGAUCAUGUUCAUGGCAGUAACGAGACAGUACCACCUAGAGAUACAAAUGGAAAUUUGGAAAGAGGAGUGGAAGGCCAUCACCCUGAUGAUAUUUACGUUGAUAUGGUCUUUAAAAGCAGAGAGGAAUUCAAACAACAUAUGGCCAUAUUUGCGAUAAGGAAAAAAAUUCGUUUUCAGACCAACCGGUCAUUCCCUGGAGGGAUGGUCCUACGGUGUUUCAGUAGAACCUGCAAUUGGCGAGUCUAUGCGGUGAACUUGAAAAAUACAGAGUUGUAUGAAGUGCGUACAACUACUCUACUGCAUUCUUGUACUGUCGAUGAGCGUUCGGGAUACCAAUCACAAGCAACGCAUACUGUGAUUGGUGGAAUGAUGAAAGCAAGGUUCACAGGUAGAGGAGGGGGGCCACGCCCAAACGAGAUCAAACAAGCAAUGCAAGGAGAUCAUGACGUUUAUAUAUCUUACUGGAAAGCUUGGAAAUUUAGGGAGGUGGCUUUAGAUUACGCAAAGGGAUCAUGAGGGGCUUCACAACCUGUUGCCAGCUUACUUAGAGAAACUGGUUGUUGCAAAUCCAGGAACAAUUACUGAAAUUCACACUGAAUACACUGAAGGAGUGGGACACAAAUUCAAAUACAUGUUCCUUGCACUAGCUGCCUGCAUCGAAGGAUUCGAAUUUAUGAGGAAAGUGGUUAUCGUUGACGGUACACAUUUGAAGGGAAAGUAUGCAGGAUGUUUGUUGACUGCGUCCGCCCAAGAUGGAAACUAUCAAGUUUUCCCUCGAGCUGUGGCAGUGGUUGAUGGUGAGAAGGAAAAGUCUUGGGAGUAGUUUUUCAUGAAACUAACUCAGUUCAUACCAAACCAGGAAGAUGUUGUAUUUGUGUCCGACCGGCAUCCAUCGAUUUACUAUGGUAUCGCAAAGGUCUAUUCAAGGAGUGGGCAUUGUGCAUGCAUUCUACAUCUGAAAAGAAACAUAAGAACGUCUUUCAAGGACAAGCACUUGGGUUACCUCGUCGGGAAAGCAGCCCGGGCAUAUAGACUCUCGGAAUUCUACACAACAUUUGCAGAAAUAAAACGGGUUAAUGCUUCAUGUGCAGAUUAUCUGGUAGGAAUCGAGUUCGAGCAUUGGGCGCGGUCUCAUUUCAAAGGAAAACGUUUCAACAUUAUGACAAGUAAUGUAGCGGAAACAUGGAAUGUCGUGUUACGUGAAGCCAGGGAGUAUCCUAUACUCUCACUAAUAGAAUUCAUAAUGAACUGGUUUAGUGUAAGAAGGGAUCUGCCAAACCUUGGAGAUAAUAGUCUCACACCACGCGUACAUGAAAUUGUAACUGGAAACUUUGAGAGUAGUGGGACGUUUGGAGUGAGCGUCAUUGGAGACCGCGAGUAGGAAGUGAAAGACAAAACAGGGAAGCAUAACAUGUAAACCUAACAGCGAAAACUUGUUCUUGCUACGAAUUUCAAACACUCCAAAUUCCAUGAAGCCACGCGUUUGCAGCUGCAAUAAGGAACCGAAUACAAGUGGAUUCGUUAGUUGGCGACUGGUAUACGGUAAGAACAUAUAGGACGGCGUACGCUGCAAUCAUAACCCCAGUGGUAGAACACGAAAGCAUAGAAAUCCUUUCCAGCGACGUCUCAGGUAGCCAAAUUGCAGUGAAUCCGCCUGCAAGCAGAAGGCCACCGGGUAGGCCAUGUAAAACUGGCUUUUAUCAAGGGGAGGGGGAAUACCAGGUAUAUUUAACUUUCUUCAAUAACUUAAUAGAAAUUAAGUUAAAACCAUGUAACCCAUUGAAUGCAGAUGAGAGGAGCAAGGAAACGAACAAUGUGUGGUAGAUGCAAGUGUUACGGUCAUAACCGAUCAACAUGCAAAAUGCCUAUCUAGAACCUUGUUAUGCUUAUGUUAUGGAAAGAGAAAGCCUUGGAUGAUGAAAGUGUAUGCAAGUUUGGGAGGUUUAUUACAAUAAGGCUGUAAAAUAUGUGAUGGGAAGUGG